Molecule: transfer RNA, 80 nt
Filed under: Plautia stali symbiont
Lineage: Bacteria; Pseudomonadati; Pseudomonadota; Gammaproteobacteria; Enterobacterales; Enterobacteriaceae
Rfam family: tRNA
About the family: Transfer RNA (tRNA) molecules are approximately 80 nucleotides in length. Their secondary structure includes four short double-helical elements and three loops (D, anti-codon, and T loops). Further hydrogen bonds mediate the characteristic L-shaped molecular structure. tRNAs have two regions of fundamental functional importance: the anti-codon, which is responsible for specific mRNA codon recognition, and the 3' end, to which the tRNAs corresponding amino acid is attached (by aminoacyl-tRNA synthetases). tRNAs cope with the degeneracy of the genetic code in two manners: having more than one tRNA (with a specific anti-codon) for a particular amino acid; and 'wobble' base-pairing, i.e. permitting non-standard base-pairing at the 3rd anti-codon position.
Source: Rfam by way of RNAcentral
UGGGGUGUCGCCAAGCGGUAAGGCACCAGAUUCUGAUUCCGGCAUUCCGGCAUUCCGGGGUUCGAAUCCCUGCACCCCAG